Long non-coding RNA from Bactrocera neohumeralis, 584 nucleotides. RefSeq lists it as uncharacterized. The transcript has 2 exons. Lineage: Eukaryota; Metazoa; Arthropoda; Insecta; Diptera; Tephritidae. The record is from RefSeq and is a predicted model, not a curated record.
UUGACUACGUGCUCUCAAAUACUCACACACAUUCAAACAUUCGUAAGCUUAGCGGCGAGUAGCAGCCCUUAGUCCACAACUAUGCAUUUAAACGCGUAUAAAACCGUUAAAGUUAAGCGCUCGUAAGAUUAGUUGUAUUUGACAGCGCAUGCUGCUCAGAAGUAGUACUUAGAGAGUGAGCUUAGCGCAAUUACACAUACAUACAUACAAACUUGCAUGCGUGCCUAAGAUGAUGAAAUUCUGCGGUGUUUUUCUAUUUUUAUGGGUUUGCCUGGCAGUUGAGGCACGUCCACAGGACAUUGUCAUACAUACCUCGGUGAGCGCAACAGCGGUUGCAUCGGUGGAUCAGGCCAGCAAUGUGCGUACUUUCACCAAUGUUGCCACUGCAAGUGCCGUGCAAAACAAUGUCUAUCAUAUUUUACUGCCACAAGGAUAAUUAAAUACUGCUUUUAGUAUUAUAUUUAAGAGGGAAAGAGAAAAGAAAUAUUUUCUUUUUAGAUUUUAUUUUUUUUUAGCAAAUAUUAUGGUUCAAAAUACUUAAUUUAUUAUUAAAACUAAUAAUGAAAAUACUUUGAAAAAACAAA